RNAcentral lists this ribosomal RNA (460 nucleotides) under uncultured bacterium. Its description in RNAcentral is "partial 16S ribosomal RNA". It matches the Rfam family "Bacterial small subunit ribosomal RNA", at positions 338 to 795 of the family's 1533-position model. The record is from RNAcentral.
CCUACGGGAGGCAGCAGUGAGGAAUAUUGGUCAAUGGACGAGAGUCUGAACCAGCCAAGUAGCGUGAAGGAUGACUGCCCUAUGGGUUGUAAACUUCUUUUAUAUGGGAAUAAAAUGUUCCACGUGUGGGAUUUUGUAUGUACCAUAUGAAUAAGGAUCGGCUAACUCCGUGCCAGCAGCCGCGGUAAUACGGAGGAUCCGAGCGUUAUCCGGAUUUAUUGGGUUUAAAGGGAGCGUAGGUGGAUUGUUAAGUCAGUUGUGAAAGUUUGCGGCUCAACCGUAAAAUUGCAGUUGAAACUGGCAGUCUUGAGUACAGUAGAGGUGGGCGGAAUUCGUGGUGUAGCGGUGAAAUGCUUAGAUAUCACGAAGAACUCCGAUUGCGAAGGCAGUUCACUGGACUGCAACUGACACUGAGGCACGAAAGUGUGGGUAUCAAACAGGAUUAGAUACCCGUGUAGUC